RNAcentral lists this ribosomal RNA (497 nucleotides) under uncultured bacterium. RNAcentral describes it as "partial 16S ribosomal RNA". It matches the Rfam family "Bacterial small subunit ribosomal RNA", at positions 28 to 507 of the family's 1533-position model. The record is from RNAcentral.
GAUGAACGCUGGCGGCGUGCUUAAUACAUGCAAGUCGAGCGAACAGAUGAGGAUCUUGCUCCUCUGACGUUAGCGGCGGACGGGUGAGUAACACGUGGAUAACCUCCCUAUAUGACUGGGAUAACUUCGGGAAACCGGAGCUAAUACCGGAUAAUAUCUUGAACCGCAUGGUUCAAUAGUGAAAUUCGGUUUUGCUGUCACUUAUAGAUGUAUCCGCGCCGCAUUAGCUAGUUGGUAAGGUAACGGCUUACCAAGGCAACGAUGCGUAGCCGACGUGAGAGGGUGGUCGGCCGCACUGGAGGGGAGACACGGUCAAGACUCCUACGGGAGGCAGCAGUAGGGAAUCUUCGGCAGUGGGGGAGAGCCUGACAGAGCAAGGCCGCGGAAGAGGUGAAGACCUCCGGAGCGUAAAGCUCUGUUAUUGGGGAAGAACAAAUGUGUAAGUAGAUAUGCACGUCGUGACGGUACCUGAUCAAGAAGCCACGGCUAACUACGUG